GUUUGAAGGUAUUAGGAGGAAGGUAUAAAGGAGACCACAGAGAAUAAUCAUCCUGAUGACUGGGCUUAAGAGCUAUUGAAGAUCUGGAUCCCAGGCGGGACCCCUCGGCUUCGAGAUCAGUCAAAGAAUCAACAGAGUGCGUUCUGUAUAAAGCAAGGUGACCAGGUUAAUAAAGUAACUCUGUCCAGCAACACCGAGGUUAAAGCUUCUGUGCUCUGUGGCGAAAUUGUGCAAUUACAAUUGAGCACUGAGCAAUUUUUAUUUUUUUUUCAAGAAUGAGUACAGCCUUAAUUAUGAGAAAAGUCCAAUCAACUAUAAUAAGGUGACAUGAUUGACAUUCAGCUAAUCCAACGCUAUUCCCUGGGAAAUGGUUCUUGUUUCACGUGGAUCAUUAUCUCGUGCUAGGAGUUCAAGGUUAGUUCGAGUGGUCAAUUAAUGCUUCAUAAUUCAUUUUAUCAAAACUCCACUGUUUGUCUUAUCUUCUGUUCCAGCUAAUCCAGCAAAGCAGCAGUACAGUUCACAAAGUCAAAUCAGAAUGGGCAGCCAUUUUGAGGUGUUGUUUUAAAUUGAAAAGCCAUUUUGCUGUUAAAGAAAACCUACAUAUAUUUGUUGCUCCUGACAACAGCCAAGAUUGAAAUUUGGAAACCUCACUAUAACAUGAGCAGACUUGAAUGAACUUGGUUCAGUCCUGGAUGCGAUUAGCACACAAUAUUAUCAGCAUUGAUACUUGUGAACUCACUGGUGUGUGGUCACUUGAGAGGGAUCGUUUUGCACAGUUCAAGCAGGUGAAUGGUCUGUUGCCAGUCUGCGUGCACUGGUGGGAAGGUGGAUUGGAUGACUGAGUGAAUCCCUUCCCACCAUCCAAGUAGACGGAUGAUCUCUGCCGAGUAUGAACCCGCUGGUGUACAGUGAGGUGGGAUGAAUGAGCAAAGCCUUUUUCCGCACAGCGAGCAGGUGAACGGUUUCUCCCCGGUGUGAAUUCGUUGGUGGACAGUGAGUUGAGACGAUCGCUUGAAGCCAGUCCCACAGUGAGAGCACCUGAACUGCCUCUCCUCUGUGUGGACACGCUGAUGGGAUACCAAUCCCCCAGAACUCUGGUAGCACUUUCCACAGUGUGAGCAUUUAAAAGGCCUCUCCCCAGUGUGAACGUGCUGGUGCAUCGCUAGGCUGGAUGAUGUAACAAAUGCCUUCCCACAUCGGGAGCAGGUGAACGGUCGCUCCCCAGUGUGGGUGCGCCAGUGAAUGUCGAGCUCAGACGGGUAGUUGAAUCCCUUCCCCCACACAGUACAUUUCCAUGGCUUGUUCCCACUGAGAGUGCACUGACCCUUCUUCAGCUGGGGUGGGUAACUGAUUCCUUUCCCACUGUCUCCACAUUUCCACAACUGUUUGGCAGUGUGACCACACAGACCAGACUGACCGAAGCCUUGUUCACACACACAACAUGAGUGCAGUUUCUCCCCACUAUUCACGGUGCUUAUUAUUUCCAUGUUCAAAUCUGAUGAGAUGCAGGUUGCAAUAGGUCAGUUCAAUCCACCAGAAUCUGCUCAAAUUCAAUUUCCAGGCCGUCACUUUCCAAUGCCCUGUAAUAUUGAUGCAAAACAGAACAAAGUAAGAGACAGCCAACAAAACCCCACAAAGAUUACACCUGAAAUUAACCUGAACGGAUCGGAUAAGAUCAGGGCCAGCACUCAAGAAGGGGCAAUGAAAUUUUCUGAAUUAUUAUGAAAACCAUAACUGGUUCAGGCAUGUCCUUCAGGGAGGAGAACUG
Chiloscyllium plagiosum (whitespotted bambooshark) is the source of this 1768-nucleotide long non-coding RNA. RefSeq lists it as uncharacterized. NCBI's taxonomy places the organism in Eukaryota, Metazoa, Chordata, Chondrichthyes, Orectolobiformes, Hemiscylliidae. The record is from RefSeq and is a predicted model, not a curated record.